CCAAGGAGUCUAACAUGUGCGCGAGUCGUCGGGUCUUGAAUAGGCCCGCAGGCGUAAUGAAAGUGAAGGGCGACCUCGGCGUCGCCUGCGUUGGGAUCCCCGAUUCCUCGGGUCCGGGGCGCACCAACGGCCCGUCCCAUCCGCCUCGUCGGCGGGACGGAGCGAGAGCGUACACGUUGGGACCCGAAAGAUGGUGAACUAUGCCUGGGCAGGACGAGGCCAGAGGAAACUCUGGUGGAGGUCCGCAGCGAUUCUGACGUGCAAAUCGAUCGUCAGACCUGGGUAUAGGGGCGAAAGACUAAUCGAACCAUC
Molecule: ribosomal RNA, 312 nt
Filed under: Pandinus viatoris (cave clawed scorpion)
Lineage: Eukaryota; Metazoa; Arthropoda; Arachnida; Scorpiones; Scorpionidae
Description: eukaryotic LSU rRNA
Rfam family: Eukaryotic large subunit ribosomal RNA
Source: RNAcentral